ACACGACUCUCGGCAACGGAUAUCUCGGCUCUCGCAUCGAUGAAGAACGUAGCGAAAUGCGAUACCUGGUGUGAAUUGCAGAAUCCCGCGAACCAUCGAGUCUUUGAACGCAAGUUGCGCCCGAGGCCACCCGGCCGAGGGCACGCCUGCCUGGGCGUCACGC
RNAcentral lists this ribosomal RNA (163 nucleotides) under Bambusa multiplex (hedge bamboo). Its description in RNAcentral is "5.8S ribosomal RNA". It matches the Rfam family "5.8S ribosomal RNA". Rfam says of the family: 5.8S ribosomal RNA (5.8S rRNA) is a component of the large subunit of the eukaryotic ribosome. It is transcribed by RNA polymerase I as part of the 45S precursor that also contains 18S and 28S rRNA. Functionally, it is thought that 5.8S rRNA may be involved in ribosome translocation. The record is from RNAcentral. RNAcentral also lists the same sequence under 18 other names. Lineage: Eukaryota; Viridiplantae; Streptophyta; Magnoliopsida; Poales; Poaceae.